GGGNGCUCUCCCNUAUGGUCGACCUGCAGGCGGCCGCGAAUUCACUAGUGAUUAGAGUUUGAUCCUGGCUCAGAUUGAACGCUGGCGGCGUGCUUAACACAUGCAAGUCGAACGUGAAAGUCCUUCGGGGCGAGUAAAGUGGCGCACGGGUGAGUAACGCGUGGAUAAUCUACCCUUAAGAUGGGGAUAACGGCUGGAAACGGUCGCUAAUACCGAAUACGCUCCCGAUUUUAUCGUUGGGGGGAAAGAUGGCCUCUGCUUGCAAGCUAUCGCUUAAGGAUGAGUCCGCGUCCCAUUAGCUAGUUGGCGGGGUAACGGCCCACCAAGGCGACGAUGGGUAGCCGGUCUGAGAGGAUGACCGGCCACACUGGAACUGGAACACGGUCCAGACUCCUACGGGAGGCAGCAGUGGGGAAUAUUGCGCAAUGGGGGCAACCCUGACGCAGCAAUACCGCGUGAGUGAAGAAGGUUUUCGGAUCGUAAAGCUCUGUUAUUGGGGAAGAAAACAUGACGGUACCCAAUGAGGAAGUCCCGGCUAACUACGUGCCAGCAGCCGCGGUAAUACGUAGGGGACAAGCGUUGUCCGGAAUGACUGGGCGUAAAGGGCGCGUAGGCGGUCUGAUAAGUCAGAUGUGAAAGGUACCGGCUCAACCGGUGACGUGCAUUUGAAACUGUCAGACUUGAGUAUUGGAGAGGCAAGUGGAAUUCCUAGUGUAGCGGUGAAAUGCGUAGAUAUUAGGAGGAACACCAGUGGCGAAGGCGGCUUGCUGGACAAAUACUGACGCUGAGGUGCGAAAGCGUGGGGAGCGAACAGGAUUAGAUACCCUGGUAGUCCACGCCGUAAACGAUGAAUGCUAGGUGUUGGGGAAACUCAGUGCCGCAGUUAACACAAUAAGCAUUCCGCCUGGGGAGUACGACCGCAAGGUUGAAACUCAAAGGANNUGACGGGGACCCGCACAAGCAGCGGANCAUGUGGUUU
Molecule: ribosomal RNA, 979 nt
Filed under: uncultured bacterium
Lineage: Bacteria
Description: bacterial SSU rRNA
Rfam family: Bacterial small subunit ribosomal RNA
Source: RNAcentral